Molecule: long non-coding RNA, 410 nt
Organism: Xiphias gladius (swordfish)
Lineage: Eukaryota; Metazoa; Chordata; Actinopteri; Istiophoriformes; Xiphiidae
Exons: 4
Source: RefSeq, a predicted model, not a curated record
CGGCUGCCGUGGAGGUGAAGGCCACGGACCCCCGGGGACUUAGUGCUUCAGCCAGGGUGGAGGUGGCGGUCCAGGGAAAUGCGAACAGCGAUGACGUGGUGACCAUCUCCCUCAACCAGCCUGCGAACAGGGUGGAGAAGAAAGUUCCGGAGUUAGAGAAGUCUUUAGGCGCGGCCCUGGGCUGGACUGUCAACGUCAUCGGGGUGUCGAGCUCCAGCCGAGGAGCCGCCGAGUCCAGAGGACCCGGGGCGGAUGCGAGGACUUUGCUCAGCUUCAUCGCUGUAGAUGGAGGGGAGGUCGUUUCCUUCGAGGAAGUCACAAAGAGACUGCAGAGCCAAUCAGCUGCCGUGAGGGCGGAGCUGGUCAGAGUGUUCGGGGAGGGGCUGGCUUUCGACGUGGCGACGAGGCCC